CUCACUUCUCAGCCUUUUGGGCAGGAAGAAGUGUAGUAUCUGUUGUUAUCGCUUUAAUAUCUGAUACGCCUCGUAUGCGAGGACCAUGUAAUGAAUUGAUCUUUGGAUCAGAGAGAUGGAGUAGGACUCCGGCCUUGUAUUGCAGUACCUCCAGAAACAGUGUACAUUGU
This 170-nucleotide small nuclear RNA is filed under the name Cynoglossus semilaevis (tongue sole). Its description in RNAcentral is "U2 spliceosomal RNA (ENSCSEG00000010101.1)". It matches the Rfam family "U2 spliceosomal RNA". From Rfam's summary of the family: U2 is a small nuclear RNA (snRNA) component of the spliceosome (involved in pre-mRNA splicing). Complementary binding between U2 snRNA (in an area lying towards the 5' end but 3' to hairpin I) and the branchpoint sequence (BPS) of the intron results the bulging out of an unpaired adenosine, on the BPS, which initiates a nucleophilic attack at the intronic 5' splice site, thus starting the first of two transesterification reactions that mediate splicing. The record is from Rfam by way of RNAcentral. Lineage: Eukaryota; Metazoa; Chordata; Actinopteri; Pleuronectiformes; Cynoglossidae.